CUCCUCUCUUUAAAUAGUCACACCUUCAUGAGCAGCUUUGCAUGGCUUUGAAUUUAACUGAUUUAAUCUGGCAACUCCUCAGAUUUGUUGAUGACUCCUCAAGUGACGAAACGUCCAGUGAACAGGAGGAGACUAAAAUACGAAAAUGGCAGUUACAAAAGCAGGAGUGUGACACAUUCCAGAGACCCAGUGAGGACAUGCGGAAAUUGUCCCACCGUCCUCAGCUACCCAGUCAGUCUGAGAGAAAUGAACUGCAGACUGACAAGAAGCUGACUGGAAAUAAGAAGGAGAAACCUGAGAUGCCAGGGAGAUCUCAGCUUAGGCUGCCCUCUAAAGACAUCCAGGUAAAGCCUGUAGCACCAGUCAGUGAACUCCUGGACCAGCCGGCAGAACCGGACAAGACGCCCAGAGCCAAACCAAAGUAAGUCAAUUCCAUGGAAGAAAAUUCAGUUUUGAACUCGACUCUUUCUUGUCGUCCCCCAUCAAUGUUAGACUAUUGAUCGUCUCUCUUUAAAUAUUUUUGCUGAAACUCUUCAGUGUAACUGAUCUUAAAAACUGUCUCUCCAACACCACAGAUACCCUUCUUACUCAAUAAUCAGUUCAGAUGAAGAAUCUGAAACUGGAGGAGACACCAGUCAGCAGCAGGAGGUCAUGCGGAUAUGGUCCAUCCGUCCUUGGCUACCCAGUGACUCAGGGGGAAGUGAACAGGAGACUCACAACAAGCUGGAUGUUAAUAAGAAGGGGGAACCUGGUAAAGGUUCGUUGUGUGUUCCAUAUAAAGCUAUACAGUUUAUUAGAAUAUUGUACUGUAUUACAUGUCAUUGCAGUGAAGCAUAUUUGAUUUGUGUAGACGUUAUUAUCAGGAUAUUAAAUUGUAAAAUACUGCACAGUAUAAGAAAACCCAACACAAUCGUUUCUAGUUUCGUCUGCUGGACGUUCUGCUAAAGCACAACCAGAGGCGAUGACAUCUACAGAAGCUCCAAAGAAAUUUUCUUUCCUGUAAGAAAUGUCAGAUUUCUGGAAAAACAAAUGAUUUUCUAUUUAUUAUUAUCUUAUUAUUUCCACCUAAAUGAUAAGUUUUAAAUGGUUUUAAAUUCCUGCUUAUUUCCCUCCAGGAACAUAUUCAAAAAUUUAAAAAAGAAAUUGAAGGGAAAAACGGAAAAAAAAGAACAGAAUGAAGUAAAAUCGGAGAAACCGGUUGAGGGCAGACAGAGUCAACAGCAGACCAACAAGGUGAGUUUGGGGGACAAAAGGUAAGGCCUUUGUUGGUGUCACCGGAAACUCAACAGAUGACCGACUUUA
Molecule: long non-coding RNA, 1302 nt
Filed under: Takifugu rubripes (torafugu)
Lineage: Eukaryota; Metazoa; Chordata; Actinopteri; Tetraodontiformes; Tetraodontidae
Description: lncRNA (ENSTRUG00000028943.1)
Source: RNAcentral